This 589-nucleotide ribosomal RNA is filed under the name uncultured bacterium. RNAcentral describes it as "bacterial SSU rRNA". It matches the Rfam family "Bacterial small subunit ribosomal RNA", at positions 338 to 918 of the family's 1533-position model. The record is from RNAcentral.
CCUACGGGAGGCAGCAGUGGGGAAUAUUGCACAAUGGGCGAAAGCCUGAUGCAGCCAUGCCGCGUGUGUGAAGAAGGCCUUCGGGUUGUAAAGCACUUUCAGCGAGGAGGAAAGGUUAGUCGUUAAUAUCGGCUAGCUGUGACGUUACUCGCAGAAGAAGCACCGGCUAACUUCGUGCCAGCAGCCGCGGUAAUACGAGGGGUGCAAGCGUUAAUCGGAAUUACUGGGCGUAAAGCGUUCGUAGGCGGUUAUUUAAGCAAGAUGUGAAAGCCCUGGGCUCAACCUGGGAACUGCAUUUUGAACUGGCAAGCUAGAGUUUUGUAGAGGGUAGUGGAAUUUCCAGUGUAGCGGUGAAAUGCGUAGAGAUUGGAAGGAACAUCAGUGGCGAAGGCGGCUACCUGGACAAAGACUGACACUGAGGCACGAAAGCGUGGGGAGCAAACAGGAUUAGAUACCCUGGUAGUCCACGCCGUAAACGAUGUCAACCAGCCGUCUGUAGACUUGAUCUGUGGGUGGCGUAGCUAACGCGCUAAGUUGACCGCCUGGGGAGUACGGCCGCAAGGUUAAAACUCAAAGGANAUUGACGGGG